AUUGAACGCUGGCGGAAUGCUUUACACAUGCAAGUCGAACGGCAGCACGGACUUCGGUCUGGUGGCGAGUGGCGAACGGGUGAGUAAUAUAUCGGAACGUAUCCAAUAAUGGGGGAUAACUAAUCGAAAGGUUGGCUAAUACCGCAUACGUCCUACGGGAGAAAGCUAGGGACCUUCGGGCCUGGCGUUAAUGGAGCGGCCGAUAUCGGAUUAGCUAGUUGGUGAGGUAAAGGCUCACCAAGGCGACGAUCCGUAGCUGGUCUGAGAGGACGACCAGCCACACUGGAAAUGUGACACGGUCCAGACGCCUACGGGAGGCAGCAGUGGGGUAUUUUGGACAAUGGGCGAAAGCCUGAUCCAGACAUUCCGCGUGAGUGAAGAAGGCCUUCGGGUUGUAAAGCUCUUUCGCAAGAGAAGAAAACUUACCCUCUAACAUAGGGUGAGGUUGACGGUAUCUUGAUAAGAAGCACCGGCUAACUACGUGCCAGCAGCCGCGGUAA
RNAcentral lists this ribosomal RNA (500 nucleotides) under uncultured bacterium. RNAcentral's name for it is "partial 16S ribosomal RNA". It matches the Rfam family "Bacterial small subunit ribosomal RNA", at positions 30 to 523 of the family's 1533-position model. The record is from RNAcentral.